GAAAAGAACUUUGAAAAGAGAGUUAAACAGUACGUGAAAUUGUUGAUAGGGAAACGAUUGAAGUCAGUCGUACCGACGGAAAAUCAACUUCUCGGGUGCCUAUCGUGGGUGACGUUGAGCCUCACGGUCUUCGUUGCUUGUGUUGUUGGUACCUUUGUUGUGCACUUUUUCGUAUGGUAGGUCAACAUCGAUUUUGGUCGUCAUAAAAUGAUCGGAGGAAUGUAGCUUUGAUUUCGAUUGAAGUGUUAUAGCCUUUGGUAAAUGUGACGAUUGGGAUCGAGGAUUGCAACGAAUACCCUUUGGGCUAUCCGUCUGACCUCUGAAAGUCACUUGGGUGUCGAAAGCGUGCUUAUGGCAUACAAGUUGGCGGUCAACAGGUUAGAACGCGAUUACAUUCGUU
Molecule: ribosomal RNA, 400 nt
Filed under: uncultured Glomeromycotina
Lineage: Eukaryota; Fungi; Glomeromycota
Description: eukaryotic LSU rRNA
Source: RNAcentral